GACGAACGCUGGCGGCGUGCCUAAUACAUGCAAGUUGAGCGCUGAAGGUUGGUACUUGUACCGACUGGAUGAGCAGCGAACGGGUGAGUAACGCGUGGGUAAUCUGCCUUUGAGCGGGGGACAACAUUUGGAAACGAAUGCUAAUACCGCAUAAAAACUUUAAACACAAGUUUUAAGUUUGAAAGAUGCAAUUGCAUCACUCAAAGAUGAUCCCGCGUUGUAUUAGCUAGUUGGUGAGGUAAAGGCUCACCAAGGCGAUGAUACAUAGCCGACCUGAGAGGGUGGACGGCCAAAUUGGGACUGAGAAAAGGCUCCAGCUCCUACGGGAGGCAGCAGUAGGGAAACUUCGGAAAUGGACGAAAGUCUGACCGAGCAAAGCCGCGUGAGGGAAGAAGGGUUUCGGAUCGUAAAACUCUGUUGGUAGAGAAGAACGUUGGGGAGAGUGGAAAGCUCAUCAAGUGACGGUAACUACCCAGAAAGCGACGGCUAACUACGUG
RNAcentral lists this ribosomal RNA (497 nucleotides) under uncultured bacterium. Its description in RNAcentral is "partial 16S ribosomal RNA". It matches the Rfam family "Bacterial small subunit ribosomal RNA", at positions 28 to 507 of the family's 1533-position model. The record is from RNAcentral.